RNAcentral lists this ribosomal RNA (82 nucleotides) under Acinetobacter baumannii. Its description in RNAcentral is "partial 23S ribosomal RNA". It matches the Rfam family "Bacterial large subunit ribosomal RNA", at positions 2844 to 2925 of the family's 2925-position model. The record is from RNAcentral. RNAcentral also lists the same sequence under 1 other name. Lineage: Bacteria; Pseudomonadati; Pseudomonadota; Gammaproteobacteria; Moraxellales; Moraxellaceae.
ACUAGGACGUUGAUAGGUUGGAUGUGGAAGCAUAGUGAUAUGUGAAGCUGACCAAUACUAAUUGCUCGUGAGGCUUGACUAU